RNAcentral lists this ribosomal RNA (253 nucleotides) under uncultured bacterium. RNAcentral's name for it is "partial 16S ribosomal RNA". It matches the Rfam family "Bacterial small subunit ribosomal RNA", at positions 524 to 776 of the family's 1533-position model. The record is from RNAcentral.
UACGGAGGGGACUAGCGUUGUUCGGAAUUACUGGGCGUAAAGCGCACGUAGGCGGAUUUGUAAGUCGGGGGUGAAAUCCCGAGGCUCAACCUCGGAACUGCCUUUGAUACUGCAAAUCUCGAGUCCGGAAGAGGUGAGUGGAAUUCCUAGUGUAGAGGUGAAAUUCGUAGAUAUUAGGAAGAACACCAGUGGCGAAGGCGGCUCACUGGUCCGGUACUGACGCUGAGGUGCGAAAGCGUGGGGAGCAAACAGG